Molecule: ribosomal RNA, 253 nt
Filed under: uncultured bacterium
Lineage: Bacteria
Description: partial 16S ribosomal RNA
Rfam family: Bacterial small subunit ribosomal RNA
Source: RNAcentral
UACGGAGGGUCCAAGCGUUAUCCGGAAUCAUUGGGUUUAAAGGGUCCGUAGGCGGUUUAGUAAGUCAGUGGUGAAAGCCCAUCGCUCAACGGUGGAACGGCCAUUGAUACUGCUAGACUUGAAUUAUUAGGAAGUAACUAGAAUAUGUAGUGUAGCGGUGAAAUGCUUAGAUAUUACAUGGAAUACCAAUUGCGAAGGCAGGUUACUACUAAUGGAUUGACGCUGAUGGACGAAAGCGUGGGUAGCGAACAGG